CUGCUGCCUCCCGUAGGAGUUUGGACCGUGUCUCAGUUCCAAUGUGGGGGACCUUCCUCUCAGAACCCCUACGCAUCGUCGGCUUGGUGGGCCGUUGCCCCACCAACUACCUAAUGCGCCACAUGCCCAUCCGUGACCGGGGUCGCCCCCUUUGACCGGCAGGGGAUGUCCCCUCCCGGCAUUAUGUUGUAUUAGGCGGGAUUUCUCCCGGUUAUCCAUCUGUCACGGCCAGGUUGCAUACGUGUUACUCACCCGUGCGCCGGUCGCCGGCGG
Molecule: ribosomal RNA, 273 nt
Filed under: uncultured bacterium
Lineage: Bacteria
Description: partial 16S ribosomal RNA
Source: RNAcentral